RNAcentral lists this transfer RNA (85 nucleotides) under Planctomycetota bacterium. RNAcentral's name for it is "tRNA-Leu". It matches the Rfam family "tRNA". Rfam says of the family: Transfer RNA (tRNA) molecules are approximately 80 nucleotides in length. Their secondary structure includes four short double-helical elements and three loops (D, anti-codon, and T loops). The record is from RNAcentral. RNAcentral also lists the same sequence under 1 other name. Lineage: Bacteria; Pseudomonadati; Planctomycetota.
GCCGGAGUGGCGGAAUUGGCAGACGCGCCGGAUUCAAAAUCCGGUGCCCGUUUAGGGCGUGUGGGUUCGAGUCCCACCUCCGGUA